CUACGGGAGGCAGCAGUAGGGAAUCUUCCACAAUGGACGAAAGUCUGAUGGAGCAACGCCGCGUGAGUGAUGAAGGUUUUCGGAUCGUAAAACUCUGUUGUUAAAGAAGAACAAGUGUUAGAGUAACUGUUAACACUUUGACGGUAUUUAACCAGAAAGCCACGGCUAACUACGUGCCAGCAGCCGCGGUAAUACGUAGGUGGCAAGCGUUGUCCGGAUUUAUUGGGCGUAAAGCGAGCGCAGGCGGUUUUGUAAGUCUGCUGUGAAAGCCCUCAGCUCAACUGAGGAAGUGCAGUGGAAACUACAAAACUUGAGUACAGAAGAGGAAAGUGGAACUCCAUGUGUAGCGGUGAAAUGCGUAGAUAUAUGGAAGAACACCAGUGGCGAAGGCGGCUUUCUGGUCUGUUACUGACGCUGAGGCUCGAAAGCAUGGGUAGCGAACAGGAUUAGAUACCCUGGUAGUCCAUGCCGUAAACGAUGAAUACUAGGUGUUGGAGGGUUUCCGCCCUUCAGUGCCGCAGCUAACGCAUUAAGUUCCCCCCUGGGGAGUACGACCGCAAGGUUGAAACUCAAAGGANUUGACGGGGGNCCGCNCAAGUGGUG
This 603-nucleotide ribosomal RNA is filed under the name Apilactobacillus kunkeei. Its description in RNAcentral is "bacterial SSU rRNA". It matches the Rfam family "Bacterial small subunit ribosomal RNA", at positions 339 to 934 of the family's 1533-position model. The record is from RNAcentral. Lineage: Bacteria; Bacillati; Bacillota; Bacilli; Lactobacillales; Lactobacillaceae.